GUUACCCAAACCUCAAAAACCCAUGAGAGAAACCAGAAAUGCAAGUUAUAAACAAAAGCAUCAAGUGAGCCCACAAUUCCAAUCAAACAGUGACUUUUUUUUGUUGAUUUCUAUUUUUCUAUAUGUAUAUUUUUGGGUUUUCUGUAUUUGAAUGCUAAAUCUAAAAUGAAAUUGAAAAUGUAAUCAAAAGUCAGAUUUGUUCUUGGUGAGUUUUUUG
RNAcentral lists this long non-coding RNA (217 nucleotides) under Nicotiana benthamiana. RNAcentral's name for it is "long non-coding RNA (NBEN_LNC036613)". The record is from RNAcentral. Lineage: Eukaryota; Viridiplantae; Streptophyta; Magnoliopsida; Solanales; Solanaceae.